UGCGGAAGGGAUAAGUGCUGAAAGCAUCUAAGCAUGAAGCCCCCCUCAAGAUGAGAUUUCCCAUAGCGUAAGCUAGUAAGAUCCCUGAAAGAUGAUCAGGUUGAUAGGUUCGAGGUGGAAGCAUGGUGACAUGUGGAGCUGACGAAUACUAAUAGAUCGAGGACUUAACCAU
RNAcentral lists this ribosomal RNA (172 nucleotides) under Bacillus cereus. RNAcentral describes it as "partial 23S ribosomal RNA". It matches the Rfam family "Bacterial large subunit ribosomal RNA", at positions 2754 to 2925 of the family's 2925-position model. RNAcentral also lists the same sequence under 3 other names. Lineage: Bacteria; Bacillati; Bacillota; Bacilli; Caryophanales; Bacillaceae. The record is from RNAcentral.